RNAcentral lists this ribosomal RNA (497 nucleotides) under uncultured bacterium. RNAcentral describes it as "partial 16S ribosomal RNA". It matches the Rfam family "Bacterial small subunit ribosomal RNA", at positions 28 to 507 of the family's 1533-position model. The record is from RNAcentral.
GAUGAACGCUGGCGGCGUGCCUAACACAUGCAAGUCGAGCGAAAGGACGAGCAGCUUGCUCCUCUGUUGUUAGCGGCGGACGGGUGAGUAACUCGUGGAUAUCCUACCUAUCAGUCUGGGAUAACUUCGGGAAACCGGAGCAAAUACCGGACCAUAUUCUGAAUCGCUUGGUUUAAAAGUGAUAUUCGGUCUUUUCGUUCAUCAUAGAUGGUUCCGCGCUGCAUUAGCUAGUUGGUAAGGUAACGGCAUACCAAGGCAAUGAUGCAUAGCCGACCUGAGAGGGGGGUCGGCCACACUGGAACGGAGACACGGUCCAGACUCCUACGGGAGGCAGCAGUAGGGAAUCUUCCGCAAUGGGCGAAAGCCUGACGGAACAACGCCGCGUGAGUGAUGAAGGUCUUCGGAUCGUAAAACUCUGUUAUUAGGGAAGAACAUAUGUGUAAGUAACUGGGCACAUCUUGACGGUACCUAAUCAGAAAGCCACGGCUAACUACGUG